This 893-nucleotide long non-coding RNA is filed under the name Gallus gallus (chicken). RNAcentral describes it as "lncRNA (ENSGALG00010000948.1)". Lineage: Eukaryota; Metazoa; Chordata; Aves; Galliformes; Phasianidae. The record is from RNAcentral.
CCACUAGACCAGGCUGCCCAGAGCCACAUCCAGCCUGGCCUUGAAUGCCUCCAGGGAUGGGGCAUCCACAACCUCCUUGGGCAACCUGUUCCAGUGCGUCACCACCCUCUGAGUGAAAAACUUCCUCCUAAUAUCUAACCUAAGCCUCCCCUGUCCCAGUUUAAAACCAUUCCCCCUUGUCCUAUCACUAUCCACCCUCAUAAACAGCCAUUCCCCCUCCUGUUUAUACGUUCCCUUCAAGUACUGGAAGGCCACAAUGAGGUCUCCCCGGGGCCUUCUCCAAGCUAAACAAUCCCAGUUCCCUCAACCUUUCUCCAUAGAAGAGGUGCUCCAGCCCUCUGAUCAUCUUAGAAGAAGAACAAUUUAUUACAGAUAUCCCACUGUGCUUCCAGCUCCUCCUUCAGAAAGACAGAAAGUCUUCAGAAAGUCUUCCCUGUCGUAUCUGCCAGAUUCGUGAAGCCAUCAAGCAGUAUUAGUUGGAGGACUGUAUCUUCAUCUGAACUAUUGUGCAAGUGUCCCCUGCGACUGCACGGUUUGCACCACGUCUGGUAUUUUUUCCAGUAUCUCAUUUGCUCAGCGUCCCUGGAGUAACUAAAAGAAUUGCCAACAUCAGAACAGACCAGAUCCCCAGUGCAUGCUGCCUUUAUACAUCUGGGAUCUUCUUAUCUCUUUGAAUAAAUGAAUGGAAAGAAGAAGGAAUCGGUGUUGAGUGAUCUUCCAGCUUUGCAUGAUUCACUGAGAACUAUGUAUUCUCACCACAAAGGCUGUAUACUGGGAAUUUGUGCUAUUUCAAGCUUUGUAGUGUGUAACACAGAAAAGUAGCUUUAUGGCUCAGCUUAUUUGGUAAUCCUUUCUUAAUUAUGGGAAUACAUAUGAAUCUAAAAUGAAAGGCU